GAUGAACGCUGGCGGCGUGCCUAAUACAUGCAAGUCGAGCGAACAGACGAGGAGCUUGCUCCUCUGACGUUAGCGGCGGACGGGUGAGUAACACGUGGAUAACCUACCUAUAAGACUGGGAUAACUUCGGGAAACCGGAGCUAAUACCGGAUAAUAUAUUGAACCGCAUGGUUCAAUAGUGAAAGACGGUUUUGCUGUCACUUAUAGAUGGAUCCGCGCCGCAUUAGCUAGUUGGUAAGGUAACGGCUUACCAAGGCAACGAUGCGUAGCCGACCUGAGAGGGUGAGCGGCCACACUGGAACUGAGACACGGUCCAGACUCCUACGGGCGGCAGCAGUAGGGAAUCUUCCGCAAGGGGCGGAAGCCUGACGGAGCAACGCCGCGUGAGUGAUGAAGGUCUUCGGAUCGUAAGACUCUGUUAUUAGGGAAGAACAAAUGUGUAAGUAACUAUGCACGUCUUGACGGUACCUAAUCAGAAAGCCACGGCUAACUACGUG
Molecule: ribosomal RNA, 497 nt
Filed under: uncultured bacterium
Lineage: Bacteria
Description: partial 16S ribosomal RNA
Rfam family: Bacterial small subunit ribosomal RNA
Source: RNAcentral